This 612-nucleotide long non-coding RNA is filed under the name Marmota monax (woodchuck). The record is from RNAcentral. Lineage: Eukaryota; Metazoa; Chordata; Mammalia; Rodentia; Sciuridae.
GGCUAGAAGCAUAUAAACAGAAGAGUGGUGAGUAACUCGAUUGGUGCCAUUCCUUUUCUUGCUUUCUGCUGUCUGGAGCAGCAGUGUGAUGGCUGGAAUGGGCUGGACCAAAAGGAAGAUGCCAUGAGUUAAAUAGAGCAGAGCAACACAGAAGGACUCUGGGUCCCUUAUCAUGAGGAUCUGCCAUUUCCACACUGGACUGUAUAAUCAUGUAAAUGAAAUGAAAUUCCAUCUUGUUUAAGUCACUGUUAUUUUGCAAUUUCUACUAUUAUUGAAACUGAAUUCUAUUUUAAAAGAUGAUGGAAAAGUUUUGUGAUUGUUGGUCUUGAAGCCAGGAAGGCUAAGUGAAUUGAAUAAUGGAUGAAAGAGGCUAUAUAAUUAGCCAGGCACAGUGGUGCACACCUAUACCAGUGACUCAGGAGGCUGAGGCAGUUUAAGGCCUCACCAGUUUAAGGCCCUAAGAAACUUAGUGAGACCCUGUCUCAAAACAAAACAAUUAAUAAAGAAAUAGGACUAGGGAUAUAGCUUAGUAGUAAAGUGCCCCUGGGUUCAAUUCCCAGUACAAUAAUAACAACAACAAAAGAAAUAAGGUGUGAUGGGGUAUAAUUAAAU